Molecule: ribosomal RNA, 910 nt
Filed under: uncultured Syndiniales
Lineage: Eukaryota; Dinophyceae; Syndiniales
Description: bacterial SSU rRNA
Rfam family: Eukaryotic small subunit ribosomal RNA
Source: RNAcentral
UGUCUCAGAAUAACUCAUUUUACGGGGAAUCCGCCAAUGGCUCAUUAAAACAGUUAUAAUUUACAUGGUGGUCACUUGUUAGUUGGAUAACUGUGGUAAUUCUAGAGCUAAUACAUGCGUAAAAACUCCACUUUCGGGAAGAGUUGUAUUUAUUAGAUACAGAACCCUCCCCUUCGGGGUUUUGGAUGAUCCAUAAUAAAUGAACGAAGCGUAUGGUUAGAACCGACGCUGCACCAUUCAAGUUUCUGACCUAUCAGCUUUCGAUGGUAGGGUAUUGGCCUACCAUGGCUUUGACGGGUAACGGAGAAUUAGGGUUCGAUUCCGGAGAGGGAGCCCGAGAAACGGCUACCACAUCUAAGGAAGGCAGCAGGCACGCAAAUUACCCAAUCCUGAUACAGGGAGGUAGUGACAAGAAAUAAUUGUGCUGGCCACAUUGUGGUUACGCAUCAAGAAUGAAUAGCAUGUAAAUAUCGCUAAUACUAUCAAUUGGAGGGCAAGUCUGGUGCCAGCAGCCGCGGUAAUUCCAGCUCCAUUAGUGUAUAUUAAAGUUGUUGCGGUUAAAAAGCUCGUAGUUGGAUUUCUGUCGGGGAUGGCCGGUCCGGUCUAAGACUGUGUAUCAGGUCCAGCCUUGGCAUCCUCGUAUUCUUGCGAUCAUUAAUUUGGUUGUGGGUGUGCGACUUUUACUUUGAGGAAAUUAGAGUGUUCACGGCAGGCUUUCGCCCUGAAUAUAUUAGCAUGGAAUAUAAAACAGGACCUUGGUACUAUUUUGUUGGUUUCUAGAACUAAGGUAAUGAUUAAUAGGGACAAUUGGGGGCAUUCGUAUUGACGUGUCAGAGGUGGAAUUCUUGGAUUACGUUACGACGAACUACUGCGAAAGCAUUUGCCAAGGAUGUUUUCAUUGAUCAAGAAC